CAUGGGGAGGUACUGGGUGAGGAAGUAAUCAUCAUCUACACCUCUGGCUUAGCAGGUGAGCCAGAAGUCUUCCAACCAUACACCAAGGUUCAUCUCCCCAGUGUACUUGGCGAUGUUGGUGGGCCGUCGGAAGUAUCGUGGGAAAGGCGCUUUUUGAUAUGGCAAUCGAAGGCCUGUGGUCCCGUUCCGUCCGGGGUAGCGCUCCGGUCACCGUUUCGGUCGCUCGGUCGGUCGCCUCGCCUAGGGUGCACUUCUUCGCACUCCUCAUGGAACCGGUCACAGGCCACGUUGGCCGCUCUUGCUGCCAUCUGUUCAACGUCGGCGUCGUGCCGUGCAUGGCGUCGCGUGUGGAGGACAUCGCGCGCGUCACGGUUCAGCCCGAUCCGCUCGCACAUGGGCUGAUACCACAACGCUGGUGCCGGGUCGGGCUGCGGAGCUGCCGCAGCGCUCUGCCUUGCCCGACGUGCCGGCGGGGGUGAGCGGACGAAGGGGUUUGACUGGUCCGGCCCAGCGCUCCGGUUGGGCAAGAGGCUGCGUGUCAUUCUCGCGAUGCAGAGCUCUCCGUCUGUUGUACGCCGGUGGUUUCCACCAGCGCCCAGAGGUUCCGAUGGAUUGCCUGCUCCUGGGGUCAGCUGGCUCGGGGAGGCUGGGCAGAAGCAUCGUUGCGGCAGCGAUGUUCUGUCCGGCCCAAGCUUAAUGCGGCAGGUCAUCCCCUCCUGCCAGGAUGUUAAUCUGGACCUGGCGGGCGCAACCUCGAGCGCCGCUUGUCGGGUUGCGCGCGUGCAUGAAGCGUCCCCACAUAUGCAUAGACUAAAUAUGAUACAAAUAUCAGUCCCAGGAGACUGAUAAUACAUUUAUUCAACAGAUGGUUCAUAAACCGUACAACUUCCGAGGGAGUAGGCAGGAAAGCCACGCUGAAAUGAGAAGUAAAUAGAAAAUAGCAGCGAGCCAAGCUACUAUCAAAAGACAACACUCGGGGCUACACGACAGCGGAAGCAUUCUGCAAAGGCCAACACCACAGGCAGCGUUGGGUGCGGAAGCGACCUCCUACUCGAAAUCCUCAGCGAUGAAGUCCAGAUCUUCCUCUGAAGCAACAAAAUAAGGGUGAGUACAAAAGUACUCAACAAGUCCAACCCCAUUCACGGAGGGGGAAUACAAUCAAGAAUAUGCACAAGAUAAUUCAAUGAUAAGGCUUAGGAUUAUUUGCAAUAAAGCUAGAUUUUCAACAGAUGCUAUGGUUCAUUUUCAAAAGAGUUUUUGUUCCGAAACAUUAAGUGGGGUUGAUGCUACACCAAUGAUCCAAGUUUUAAUGCUACCGAACUCCCCGUCCGCAGUAGCUCACGGCACAACUGCCGGACACUUCCAAAAUCCAACUCAUGUUAUGAAAACCAUCCAUCUCCAAGCACUAGUUAUGUGACCAAGCUGUAACUCGUCCAAUACCGUGGACACGGCUAUCCGGAUAGGUUUAACUCUACAGAGGUUAUACACUUUACCCACAAGUAGGGUACCGCAGCAUGAUCACCUUAGUAUCGGUGCAGAUCUUAUCAAAGCCAUUACCCACCUUAGCUAAGCCUGACUAGCCGUAGCAACCAAGGUGUUAAUGACCUACCAACGAGGUCUAAACCGGGAUCUAAGUUCACACAGUUCUGACUCCCUCUCCAUGGUCUCCCGUUGCUCACCAGCUCUCGUGAUGGCUAACAUUCUAGCUAGUGGGAUUUAUGCUAAGCCGUCGCCGCAUACAAUGGUCGAGUGGUUGGACGAUGGUUGGGUUAGGCAAGAUGACACAUCAACUCGGUCCUUAAUUGUGGCAAGAUGGAUAUCUCCCAACCUUGCUCAACCACAAAGGUACGAGCCCAACUCAUUAGCAUUUCACACAAGAAACACUCAUCCAUCUCAUCUAAGCAUUUCUUUCCUUUAUUUCUAAAAACCCAUUUUCCCUUUAAAAAAAACACCCACGCAUUUAUUUUUUAACAAAACACAUUGUAGUCAUGAUUGAAUUGAGUAACAAGUUCCUAAGCAUUCUAGCCGUAAUUAUCAUCCAAACAGAGCAAAUCAUAUUUAGAGAUAAUUAUAGGAGAUCAAGGAAUAUUCAUAACAAUCAAGGGGUGGCUAUCCAACCAUGUUUCAGCAGUAAAACAAUAUGCAAUUUUAUAAAAUAGGUCAAUAGGUUGUGUUUGAAAAACUGGGAUAAAUAUGCAUCAAAGGGUGGGAUUGGACUUGCCGUCCUUAAAGCCUCCGGGAGUUCCUGCUCGCGGUACGGGUCUUUGGGCUCCGACUCGCGUUACUGGGCUUCAAGUUUGUCUUCGGGCUCCUCCGCAGCCACUGCACGAUCUACCCGUCGAGGUCGAAGGGAGGGAGUGAACUAAAAAUAUGAAAUGAGGAGUAUUUUCAGGGAUUUUGUAGAUGACUCGGUGCAAAUAUAUGUAAGAAUGACGUGGUCGAAUUUGGGGUUUAUUGGAGGGAGUUUGGCGCAUGAAAUGACAAGAUAACAGUGUAUUUAGGGGGUUAAAAUGAGCUUAGGACCAAUCUGCGAGAACCAAGGACCUAUUUCUAAUUAUCUUUGGGAGGUGGAGGGGUUUGGGUGCAAAAAUAAAUAAGCGGAUGGGUGAAAAAGCAAAAUAGCCUUUCUUACAGAGUCAUGCAUGGGAAAAGGCACAGGAAGAACGGGAGAGCGGCACGGUUGGGGAGAGGGGGUGCUGGGGCACGGCGACGGUCGGAAAGUGGGGGAAAACGGAGAGUAGGCUGAGGGGAUUUGAUUCCUCUCCUUACCUUUGGCUGAGGUGGCUCCUGAAGGUGGUUCCGCAGUGACGGGUGGGAGACUUCGAGGGCGGCACUGGGAGCACGGGAGUGAGGGAGUUGGGCGGGAAGCUCGGUAGUGGAGUCGAGAGUGGAGCGGAGGUCAUAGAUGGGAGGCAAGGUGGAGCGGGCUGUCGACGGGCGGCGCACAGGAACGGGCGGAGUUAAUGGCCAUCGGGAUGCUCGGGCACAGGAUGGUGGCGUGGCGACGUGGAGCUCCGCAUGCGUGGCGUGGCGAGGCCGGGCUCACGCAGCGAGGCGAACAAGGAUGCCAUGGCGUGCUCGAGCAGCGAUGCGCGUGGUUGGGCGCUGGUGGCGAGCUGUUAGUGCGGCGCGGCGUCGGGAGCGUGGCGUCGCUGUGCGCUGGGGAGGCGAGGGCACGAUCGGUGCUGGAGGCGAGGCCUGGGCUGCGCGUGUGCGGGGCGCGGUGUAGGGAUGCACCCUAGUGUGCGGUGGCGCUGUGGCGAGGUGCGUGCGAGGGAGGAUCAGGGCACUGGGCAACGAUGCGCUGGGGUACGUGCGUUGUGCAGGUGGGGUCGGGGGUGGCGGGAGGUGGCGUGCAGCACCUGUGCGGGCAGCAGAGGUGCAGGGGGCCAGCGCUGGGGGCUAUGCGCGAUGCUGCGCUAGGGAGGGAUAGGUGCGGGCCCAGGGGAAGCACUGGCGCACUAAGAAAAGCCAGGCACCAGGCGACGGGUGCUGGAGCAUGCGGCAGGGGAAAGGAAAAAAAAGAAAGAAAGGGAGAAAAAGAAUCAUGCGCGUCCAUGCUGAGCGGCAGGUGCUGGUGAGAUGCGUGCGGCUAGGAAAAUGAGUCAUGUGCAGCAGGAGAGAGAAAAAAGGGGGGAAGGGAAAAAGAAAAAGAAAAAGGAGGGGAGAAGAGAAAAGAAAAGAAGGGAAAUAAGGAAGAGAAUAAAAAGGCAGAAAAAGGGAAGGAAAAGGGUGAGGGAAAAAGAGAAGAAAAAUAGAGAGACGGCAGUGAUUGUGAGAAUGGUUGCGGGCACACGCGGGAAUCUUUCGUCUGGCACGAGGCGUGACACGCGGAGAAGGAAAAAUGGAAAAUGGAUAGAUGGUGGUCGGCUUCGAUGCCGGACGGCGAACUUGUCGGGAAGACUGGAUUUUAGAGAGCUUAAGCAGUGAAAGAUUUUGAAAGCGAUUUUUAGCGACUGAUUUUGGUUGGUGAAUUUUAUGGGCGUUACAGUGCGGCCUGGAGUGAUGCUCUUGGCGCGCUGGCGGAGGCGGCUACUGAUCCUGCUGCCACUGUCGCAGCUCAUCGCCGUGCGCCUGCGCUUGCACUAGGGCCUCCGCACGGUGGUUCGGCGGGGUGUGAGUCUCAACAGACUCCACCACCUCCGGAAGCUAUUCUAGGGCGUCCGCCAUGGCGCACUCCCGGGACAGAGGAUGGUCAAGUGCCAUCAUGGCACCAAUGCUGGAGGCGUCGCUCUCAAGCUCCUCGUCGCAGAGGUCGUGGAAGGAGGCAGGAGCAGAGUCUGCCAUUCCCACGAACUCGCGCGGGUAGAUUGAUGACGUCAUGACCCUCCAGAGCCCCCGCGUGUACGCGUCCACGGGGGACGCAAGACCAAAGGGGAGCCAGCCGUGUGGCGAAUGUGGUGGGGACAAUGGAGCUCCUCCGAAGAGCUGGUUGAAAGUGUUAGCCAGUGAAUACAUGAUAGUGUCCAUGUCAUUCAUCGUGGGGUUCGUGCCCAACACGGACUCGAUGCGGAGCGCAAGUGCCUCCACGUCAAGGUCGUCGAGCGGCUCGCAGAUGAUGAUGCGAGCCACCUUUCCCGAGGAUGCCGGGGGAGUCGUCUCCUCACGCAGGCGGAGUACGCCGAGCUUACUGAUGAUGAAGUCCAGACUUCCGAAGCGGAAAGCCUGGGAUAGCGCGAAGACAGGUGGAACCCACAUCCCACCGAGGGUGGGCGCGAGAAACUCCAGCGAGCCGAAGCGAAUUGUAUCGCUCGAGCCCACCAUGCUGAAGGUAGCGGUCAGGUGGGCCAUCUAAUGACCUACAAAACGCGAACGCAACAGCGUCUUACCCACAGAUGGCGCCAACUGUUGGUGUGAAAUCUAGUUGACAAGUAAAUAUUUGUAGUUUUACCGUGCGUUAGAUCGGAUAUGGCCUAGCACACAAUGACAUAGGAUGUAUACUGGUUCGGGCAACGCGCCCUACGUCCAGGCGGGGUCAGUCGGUCGACUUUAUUCCUGAGCCUAGGUGCUCAAAGUUUGUAGUGGGGGUACAAAUGAGAGGAGGAUGAGAGGGGGUGCUUGAUUCCUGGUUUUGUUCUCGUCUCAGUGGAAGAGAGUGGCAGGAGCUCAGAUGUGCGCUAAGUGUGUGAGAGUGUGAAAGCGUAAGAGUGUAAGAAUGUAAGAGUGCGUAAGUCGCAGAGCUGGAGGGUCCAUCCCCUAUUAUAGUACAAGGGAACGGCCUUACAGGUCGGAAAGGAUAAGAGAGUGAGUGUACGGGUGCUCCUAGUCUUGUCGAAGUACAUGUCGUCUGGUGUGAUAUGGCCUCCGUCCUUGGUCUUUGUUCUCCUCGUUAAGCCACUCCGUCGUAGCGAGUAAGUUUAUAGUGGUACUGUAUAGGCGUGCACAGGGCGUGGCACGGUACGGUUCUGCAUACGACCGGCUGACCCGGUGCUUCCUCAUUAUCCGUCCCACCUGCUGAAGCGUCCCCACAUAAGUAGAGAAUAAAUAUGAUCCAAUUAUCACUCACAGGAGGCUGAUACCACAUUUAUUCAACAGACAGUUCAGAAACCGUACAACUCCCGAAGGAGCGGGCGGGCAAGCCACACCCAAAGUAAAACUAAAGCGAUAACAAUACAAAUCCAAGUUGCAGUCCAGUCGGACUCUGGGCUGCAAUCGGAACUAUGCGUCAGGGGAAGCAUUCUGCAAAAGGGCCAACACCGAAGGCAGCGUUGGGUGCAGACGCAACCUCCUACUCGAAGUCCUCGGCGACGUAGUCCAGAUCCUCCUCUGAAGCAACAAAACAGGGGUGAGUACUAAAGUACUCAACAAGUCCAACCCCAUCCACGGAGGGGGAUACAGCAAGAAUAUGCAUCGGAUACAACAAGGAUAUGGUUAUGGUUUAUUUGCAAGAAAGCUAGAUUUUCAACUCAUGCAUGGGGUCAUUUUCAAAGAGUUUUUCACAAGUAAUUUAUUUUAAUAACCGAAACGUCAAGUGGGGUUGACCCUACACAAAGGGUCCAAGUUUUAUCGCUACCGAACUCCCCGUCUGCCGUAGCGCACGGCACAACUGCCGGACACUUCCAAAAUCCAACACACACCAAAGGAACCAACCAUUCCCAAAAGCUAGUUAUGUGACCAAGCCGUAACUCGUCCAAUGCCGUGGACACGGCUACCCGGAUAGGUUUUAACUCUGCAGAGGUUGUACACUUUUCCCAUAAGUAGGGUACCGCAGCACAAAUCACCUUAGUGGCGGUGCGGAUCCUAACAAAGCCAUUACCCACCUUAGCCAAAACUGAGUAGUCAACACGGAAGCACCCAAGGGGUUAACGACCCAUCCACGAGGCUGAAACGGCGACCUAAGUCACCAAGAGCUUAAUCCUUUUUCCAUGGGCUCCCGUCGCUCACCAGCACACCUGAAGCCUAGCAGUUUAGCUAGUGGGAUUUAUGCUAAGCCGUUGCCCAUACAACGGUCGAGUGGUUGCACGAUGGUUGAAUUAGGCAACAUGACACAUCAACUUGGUCCUUAGCCAUGACAAGAUGGAUAUCUCCCAACUUUGCUCAACCACUAAGGUACGAGCUCAACAAACCGGCAUUUCACACAAGAAACGCCCAUCCAUCUCAUUCACACACCACUUCUUUUUACACCCGAAAACCCAUCUCCUCAGUUGAACACACUCACACAUUUAUUUUCCGAAUAAACAAGUGUAGUCAUGAUUGAAUUUGAGUAACGAGUUCCUAAGCAUUCUAGCAGUAUUUAUCAUCUAAACAGAGCAACUCAUAUUUAGAGAUAAAUAUAGGACAACAAGGAAUAAUCAUAACAAUCAAGGGGUGGCUAUCCAACCCUGUCUUGCAAUAAAACAAUAUGCAUUUUAUAAAAUAGGCCAAUAGGUUGUUUGAAAAACUGGGUAUUAAAUAUGCAUCAAUGGAUCAGGUCGGACUUGCCGUUCUCAAAGCCUUCCGGGAGCUCCUGCUCGUGGUACUGGUCCUCAGGCUCGGUCUCACGGUCGAACUCUUCCUCAUGCUCCUCCUCGGGUACUCCGCGAUCUACGGCACACACAAACGAGCACACAAUAAAUAAAAAGAAAAAGACUUUACCCGUUGAGCUCUGAACAGGAAAUGUGAAUGGAAAAUGGGUAGGAAGGGUAUUUUCAUGAAAUUUGGAUAUGCCUCGGCGGAAAUAUAUGAGAGGAGGCCGUGGUCGAAUUUGGGAUCGAUUGGAGGAAGUUUGGCGCAUGAAAUGACAGGUUAAAGGGAUGUUAGGGGCUUUAAAACAAGGUUUAGGACUGAAUUGUGAAAAUCGAGGACCUAUUUGUAAAUAUUCUAAAAAGUGGAAGGGCUCAGCUGUGAGAAUCCCUAGGGAGAGGUGGAAGGACCGGGUUGUAAAUAAAAGAAACAAGAGGGGCAGAUCGAAAAUCGAAUUCCUCUCUUCUUCUUCUUUCCUCUACUUCCGAACAGAGGUGGGGGGGGGGGACACGGCCGGCGGCGGGUCGGCCGGCCUGACCCACCAGCGGCGAGGCCGAGCGGCGGGGAAGAUAGGGGAGGGUGAGAGGAGUCCAUUUGACCCCUCACCUUGGGCGAUUUGUGGCCGGACCAAGGGGACCGACGGUGGCAAGGAAGCGCAGCGGAGGUCCUGGCGGCGGCGGCGGUUGGCGCCGGGAGAGGCGGACGGAGGAAGGCCGGCGAGCUUGGGAGAUGGUGUUGGUCGUGUGGGGGAGGCGGCAGAGCUCGGCCCCUCUUUUAUAGGCGGCGGGGAGGGCGUCGGCGCCCGAGGCGGCGGGACUGGUGAUUUGACGGUGGCCGAACCUGUCCGGCCGGUGGCGUGCCGGAGUGGACGUGCACGUGGUUGGCGUGGCGGGGAGGCGCGGUCGCCAAGGGCGCACAGGGGCGGCGACUGCGCGGGGAGGCGCGCCGGGAAUGGGGGUGCGUGGCGGUCGGCGGGCGACCCGGAUCGGCCGGCGGCGCGCGGCGCGGCACGCGCGGCCUGGCGCUGGCGGAGGGGUGCGCGCGAGCGCGUGCGGGGCAGGCGGCGCGGCGCGGUGGCAGUCGCGCGCGCGUGGGCAUGGCGUGGGCCCAGCGCGCGUGCGGGAGCUGUACGUCUGGGGGGGCGCGCAGGGGCAGGCAGCGUUCGGGCAGCGCGAGGAGGGAAAGGCCGGGCGCCUGGCGCCAGAGAGGAAAAGGAGGAGAGAGAGAGGAGGAGGGAAGGAGGAGGGAGAAGAAGAGGAAGAAGGAAAAAAAAGGAGAAAAAGAAGAAAGAGAAAGAAAGGGAGAAGGAAAAGAAAAGGGAGGAAAAAGAGGAGGGGAAAGUGGUGAAAAUUUCGGGAUCUGACCGGCGCGCGUGAUGGAUUUGACGGGCACGCGGCGAAAAACACGGGGCACAGAUAAAGAGGGUUGACGACGUUGGGGCCGGAACGGCGAAUCUGACGAGAAAGGAAAAGAUUUAUCGGGGCUCAACGGUCAGAAAAUUUUGGAAUGCAUUUUUAACGGGUGAUGUAAUUUGGUAAAUUUCCACGGGCGUUACACCUGCUCCCUGGGCCCAUAUUGAGCGAGCAUCCCUGGUCGAUUGUACCAGUCGGCCCCGACUGAGUCGGUCGGGGGAGCGUUACGGGUGGUACGGCGUAUCAUUAGUCGGGAGGAUCGGUCGGAAGUACCCGGUCAGGAGAGCUCAGUCGGGAGAACUCAGUCGGGGUUGGACUGUGGUCCCUCCCUUAACUGGCUCUUUCCAACCAGUUGGCUGGUGGCCAGAUCGUGGUCUCGGUCUGGCUACGUGUAGUUGGGCUAGCCUAGAUAUGUGUUGUUGUUGUGCCCUUUGUUGGGCCAAGUGUCGUGGGAAGGCAGUCUUGUUGGGGACCCCGGGUCUAUGGACCCGUCAAUCCUUCUCCUGACCCAAUGAUUCCACCAUUCCUUGGUAGCAGUGAGGCCUUGAGUUCUUAAGAUCUUGAUGCCCAAUUCUGUAUGUCUCAGGAGGGGGGUUCAACAGCUAGUGAUGCUAUGGCAAGUGCAAGUACGCAAGCUAUGCAAACUCAGCCAACACAGCCAUGUGGGUCAUCUAAGAAGGUGGUUUUUCUCUACCCACAUUAGCUUCCAUAUUGAAUCCUAGUAUCCCUCUGGAGGAAUCGUCGAUUCGUAGAGGCAACAGACUUAGUCAAAACAAAUAUGGAUAUCAGUUUUUUCAGCUUGAAGAUCAUCCAAGGAAAAAGGCAGAGGGUUUGGGCGGAGGUGCCCAUAAAAAUAAAUGAUGCGGAUAAGCUUCUGGAUAAUCCACCCAAGCCAACUGAUGAGGUAGUCUCUAGAUAGGUCCCAAUGGAAAUCAUGCAUGGUUGGGCAAUUGACUGCAAUGUCGCUCCUAAGGAGCUGACAAAAGAUGCCCUUAUGGAAGGGCAACCAUCCUAGGUGAACCCAUGAAGAUACAACAUAUGGAAGCUCUGUGCAGGAAGACAUCUUUUGGUAAUGAUCAUUUUGCAAGAUGGCAGCGCUUACCUGCAGUCUCUUUAAUUUUUGUUAUGUCUUUGUUUGUGUUUUGUGGUUGCUACUUAGUCCAAACCUAUUUUAGUCCUUUUCGUGACACAAAGUAAAGUUUGAUGACAAUUGUGAGCUGUGGUUUGCUCCUCGCGUGCCUGAUCCUUCCAGGCUCUAUUUUCAGUUUAUCAAGGGCCUUCCUCCUAAAUCUGCUUCUGGUCUAGAAUUUCACUCUUUCUGCUUCACCGUGUACUUGCUGCAUUGGUUUUUCUCAUCCAUUUCUUGGUGUCAACAUGAAUAGAAGUUGGACUAUUCUUUGUUGAACAUUAGGGGUAUUAACAAUGAUAGGAAGUUGGAUGCUUUGAGAAAUAAAAUAGAGGAGAGUGCGUGUGCGGUUAUUUGCCUGCAACAAACUAAAAGAGAAAGCCUUGACACCCCCUAUAUUAGGAAUUUUGCUCCUAGACGUUUGGAUAAGUUUGAUUACAUUCCGUCAGUGGGACCAUCUGGAGGCAUUCUUGUCAUUUGGAACAGUUAUAUUUUUUAUGCUUGCACGUUGGAUAAAUAGAACUUUGCUAUCUCCCUAUCUUUUCCUUCUUGCCACUCUUUGGAAACUUGGAAGUUAUACACAGUCUAUGGCCCUUGCAUUGAGCUAGCUAGAUCAGAAUUUAUACAGUGGCUAAGGAACAUUCACAUUCAACAAGAUGAUAAUUGGAUAUUUAUGGGGGACUUUAAUUUCUAUCGAUCUCUGGAUGAUAGGAAUAAGCUAGGUGGUGACAUUCAUGAUACUAUCGUUCAAUGAUGUUAUUGGUCACCUCGGCUUACUGGAACUUCCUAUCAAAGGGAGGACUUACACAUGGAGUAAUAUGCAGCAAUAUCCUAUCCUAGAGCAGCUAGAUUGGUUCUUCACCACAGUCAAUUGGACUGGUUCCUAUCCAAAUACCAUGAUCCUACCCUUGGCCAAACCAAUUUCAGAUCACAUUCCAUGCAAAGUGAUGAUUGGGACCUCAAUUCCUAAAUCCAGGAUUUUUGGUUUUGAGAAUUUCUAGCCCGAGGUCAGUAGUUUUAUGAUAAAAGUUCAAAACAGCUGGAUAGUCACUCCCAAUCAUAAAUCUGGGUCAGCACCUAUCUUGGCAACAAAAUUUAAAAAUCUAUGACAAGCCCUCAAGAAGCGGAGCAAGAAUAUAUCAAACUUGAGCAAAUUGAUAGAAAAGUGCAACAAGACCAUCCUGUUUUUUGAUUGCCUAGAAGAAUGCAGGCCCCUAUACAUCACUGAAUGGAAUUUUAGAAAGAAAAUUAAGGAUCACCUAUUACAACUCCUGAAUUUUAAGAACCUGUACUGGAAGAAGAGGUUCACUGCUGACAGAAUCAAAUGCGGGAUGAAUGUACUAAAUUCUUUCAUGCCAUGGCAACAGUAUCCUAUAGGAAGAAUUCGAUCUCUCAGCUUAAGGAUGACAGUGAUCUGGAGGUGCAUAAGCAUGAGGGCAAGGCAGCCCUGAUUUGGAAUGCUUUUAGAAAUAGAAUGGGGAUCUCCUCCAACCUAGCUAUGCUUUUUUAUCUUCAUAAUCUGUUAUCUAGGAGGUUGAUCUUUCAUAUUUUACUCAACCUUUCACUAGAGAAGAAAUUGACAGAAUUGUUGCCUUAAUGCUUUCAAAUAAAGCACUUGGCCCUGAUGGCUUCAAUGAUCUUUUCAUUAAAAAGUGUUGGCCAAUUAUUAAGGAGGAUUUUCAGAAACUUUGUCAGGAUUUCUUUGAUGGCUCCAUUUCACUAGAAUCGAUCAAUACCUCCUUCAUAACUCUAAUUCCAAUGAAUAAUAAUCCAGAGAUAGUUAACGACUAUAGAUCCAUUUGGCUACUUAACUGCAGUAUCAAAAUCCUAACUAAGAUCCUUGCAGAGAGAUUACAGCUGGUCAUUCUGUUACUUCUUCACAAGAACCAAUAUGGCUUCCUCCAUUCCAGAACUAUGCAAGACUGUCUUGCAUGGUGUUUUGAAUAUAUACACCAAUGCCAUCAAUCCAGAAGGGAAAUUCUCAUCCGUAAACUUGAUUUCGCAAAGGCUUUUGACACAGUAGAGCACUUCGCAAUGCUGGACAUUAUGAAACGCAUGGGAUUUCCUGAGAAAUGGUUGAAUUGGAUUAACCUGCUCUUCACCUCUGGAUCAUCCUCGGUUUUACUCAAUGGGGUUCCUAGCAAACAGUUUCUAUGUAAAUGAGGGGUUAGACAGGGCGAUCCUCUCUCUCCACUCCUCUUCGUCAUUGCAGCAGAGCUUCUGCAAGUGGUUGUCAAUAAGGCUUUUCAAGACGAACACCUUGUAGCACCCCACCCACAAGCUCAUCCUGACUUCCAUAUAGUCCAAUAUGCUAAUGACACCAUCCUAAUUAUGCAGGCUAAUAGUACACAAUUGCAAUACCUAAAAAAGUCUUCUUCAUGUUUUCUCAGAGUCUACAGGUCUCAAGGUUAAUUAUAACAAGUCCUCUAUGAUCCCUAUCAAUAUUUCGGAUCAGUUAAUAGCACAACUAGCCUCUGAGUUUGGAUGCCAGAUUGGGAGUAUGCCGUUUGCGUAUCUUAGACUACCGAUGGGCACAACAAAACCAAAAUAGAUGACUUCUAACCUAUCAUGGACACGAUUGAGAGAAGACUCACUGCCUGUUCUUCGCUUCUGUCCUUGUCAGGAAGACUUCAACUGGUCAAUUCAGUUAUCACCUCAAUAGUGUUAUACCCCAUGUGCACCUUGAAACUUCACAAAGGGGUCAUUGAAAAUAUUGACCGGGCUAGAAAACAAUGUCUCUGAAGAGGGAAUGAUUUCAGUAAGAAAGAGGGAAAUUUAGCAGCUUGGUCACUUUACCCAAGGAAAAAGGAGGUCUUGGAGUUAUAAACCUUAGAGUCCAAAAUGAUGUACUCCUACUGAAGCAUCUUGACAAAUUCUAUGCUAAACACGAUACCCCUUGGGUAAACUUGAUAUGGUCAUCAUAUCAUGUUGAUAGAGUGCCUCAUGCCACGAGAGAGAUAGGGUCUUUUUGGUGAAAGGACAUCCUGUGCCUAAGUACUCUCUUCAGAGGGGUCGCUACUUGCACUAUUGGGAUGGAUCGACAGCCAUGUUCUGCGAAAACUUAUGGAGUGCUCAAAUCAUUGCUGACCUUUAUCCCAGGCUUUUCUCCUUUGCAAGAAACCCAAACCAGUCAGUCAAGGAUGUUAUGGCAGCCCAAGACUUAUCUACCAUCUUUACCCUCCCGCUAUCCUAGGAAGCCUUUGGAGACUUGGUUGCACUUCAAUCCUACCUGCAAGAUUUCGUGCAUAGUGAGGACUCCAAAGAUAUUUGGGUUUACAUUGGGAAAGUGCCAACUACACCUCUGCCAGAUUCUAUAAGCUUGGAUUUUCAGGGUUGCAAACCCCUGAGACUUUUGCUUGGCUAUGGAAAUCAAAAUGUACGCCUCAGGUCAAGUUUUUUGCCUGGUUACUCUUGGUGGACAAACUGAAUACAAGAAAUAUUUUACGAAGAAGAAACCUGAAUGUGCAAUCUCGAUUAAUUGUGUUUUGUGUAACAACGUUGUUGAGGAAGAUAGGGAUCAUCUUUUCUUCAAAUGCCCCUUUUCCAUUAGUUGCUGGUCCAAGUGGAACAUCUUCUGGAGUACUCAUGCAGUGAUUCAUAGAAGAUUAUCCAGAGCAAGAAAUGUAGCAGAUCAUCCUUUCUUCAUGGAUGUCUUCAUCCUGGCGCCCUGGGAAAUCUGAAAAAUGCGUAAUGCCAUCAUCUUUGACGUAGCAAGACCAAGUGUGAUCCAUUGGACUGUGAAGUUCAAGGAACAUGCUCUUUCUUCAAUCUAUUCGCUUUAAGAAAGAUUGUAGAGUUCUUUUUUUUGCAAUGGCUUGACUCAGUGUUGUAACUAUUUUCCCCCUUCCUUCCCCCUCCCCUUUUUCCCUCUGUAAGUAUGCCCUCUGAACUUGUCUAACCUCCUAUUUUUUAUAGAAAACCGAAGUGGUGUGGGGAACUCCCCCACAAUUUGCCCUUCAAAAAAAAUUAUCUCCCCUUUCCACCUUCUUUAUCUCUCUUCUUACUUUCCUUCCUUUGUGCCCCCACUACUACUUGUUUUUGACUGAGCAUCGAGAAAUUUGCAAUAAAUAUAGACUACUAACACUACAAGAUUCACCCUUUUCCCUUACAGUUCCUUUUAUAAACAGCCAACAAUUCCAGUAUAUUUGAUUCACUAACUCUAAAACUGUGGGGGGUGAAGUUGUCGGGGAUUAUAUUGUUGGCAAUUCAUCAAAACUAUGGGGAAUGAUGGAAAAUUAUACUACAAACAUUAUUGGCCACUGUGGGGAAUGAUGAAAAAUUAUACUACAAACAUUAUUGGCCACUUACUAACAUGCUAAACACUGUAUAGCAUUUUAAAAAUUGUUGGGAAUAAUGUCAACUCUUGUAGUGAGAUGCAUGAUCCGCAACUAAGGAUUAUUUGGUCCAAAUAUAUUGGGCUUCGCCCUGAGCAGUGAUUUGGGAGGUCGAGGAUGAGCUCCACCGGUUCGUUGACCAAGUAAUCAAUCGGCAAAUAAUUAAAAAGUUACUCCCUCCGUCCUACAAAAAUUGUUCGUUUAAAAAAAAUUAGACAAGAUAAUAGCAAUGUUAAAAGUUCAAUGUGCCCCUAAUGACUCUUUUUACUCGGAUGGAUUACCGAGUAGAAUUAAUUAUGCAAGCAUGUUUGCAGUAAUUGUCGGACCUAUUAGUCUUCCUUAUUUAGCGAGUCUGACUCGAGCAUUGAUGGUGGGAGUAAAUGAUCGAUUCGUAAACUAAAUCAAAAAGUAAAACGAGGAGUUUUGGUGGAUGAUGCGGAAGUUAUAUGAACUUUUGAAAACGGGACGGAGGGAGUACACUCAACACUCUGACUCCGCUGCCCUAUGAGCAUUUGGCAGCCAGAUCAUGCAGCUCCGAUCCUGUGCACUCUACGCUUCUACAGUAGUGGCAGCGGGGCACCGGCUCGGUGGGUGUGAACAGUGAACCUAAGCUUGCGGUUAGUGUACCAGUGGUAGCUUUACGACUAGCUCCGGCUUCCCGGGCGAACAGUGUCCGCCGGAACCGGGCCGCCAAACUCUCGAGCCGUGGCGCAAGGUGGGCGACGGGGAGAAAGCAGCCGAGUUGGGUGGUGGUGCAAGUACGUAGAGCCAGACCUCCAACUGCAAGCAGUACUGCUGCCGCGAAGAACGUGACGGUGGUUGGUUGCAACGGUAACGUCCUGCGGGGCAUUAUGCGCCGCUACUGUGCACGUUGACCGCGUGAUCACUGUCUCACUGUCACUGGCGGCAUAUGCAUUGCAUGCAUGCUAUAGCUCUCGCCUCUCGGGCUCGGCGCGAGGACGGGCACGGCAUGGCCGUCACGUCGCCGUAGUGCAGGCCCACCCAGCCAGGCACGGCGUACUCCUACUCCUAGGGCGCUAUAGAGCGGACUCGACAGGCGAGUGGCGCGGAGUGGGCGAGUCACGUCGCUGUCGAACCCGAGGCGCGAGGCGGGCCAGGAGACACCCAAUCAGAUCGCACUAGCCGCGAGGCUGGUUGCUUGACCAGUCAAGAUCCGGGUGGGGCCGGCGCAGAUCCGGGCGGGGCCUCGUGCCCGUCGUGCGCGCAUUCAUCGCUCCCUGCGGAGCCUGCUCCCCUCGGCGACCUCGGGAGAGAGCGACGUCUCAGGUCUGGCGUCUGGCUCUGGCCCCUCCGUCGCCUCGAGAUACGCGCCACGACGGCCCUGUGUGGUGGUGGCAUGGCAUCACGGCGCAGAGCCCUCCUCGUGCUCUGUGUACCUGAGUACUUGUGCCGCUGGAGCGUUUGGCAACUUGGCAAGGGCUGGAUCUCGCUUGCACCGAUGUGUUUAUCUUCUCCAGAAACCAACAGCUGCAGCCAAAACAGCCAACGUGGGUGCCUGCUUGGGUGGGGUGGUGCUGCACUGCUGGCUGCUGCUGCCCGCGUGCCUCGUCCCUGUGCUACCGCGACCACUACUGCGGGAGUGCAACUGCAAAGCCUAUCCCGCGCGGACAGAGCUGCACACCGGAAUUCAGCACCGUGUGGAGAACAUCAGAUUUUCAGAAUCCAAAAUCCAGAAUCUGUCAGGCCUCUUGCUGCGUAUCCAUAAUCAUAUCUAAAUUCACACCUAAUUUAAAUGAAAAAAAAUAUGUGUAGAAAAUUAUAUAUCUAUUGAAGAUAGGAAGGGUAGAGUACAGGAAGGUACAAUUUAUCCAUUGGAUAUAUAUAUAUUAUCUAGUAUAAAAUUAAUUAUUUAUUGGAUAUGUGUGAGAAUAGAAAGGGUGAGGAUUGGAUAAUAUAUAUUUGGAUUUGGAUACGAACAAGAGUGGGUUUGUCCAUACCCUCCCCAGUGGCCGGCCUAUCUGAGAUGGCCUAUCUGAGAUGCCUCCAAACAGGAUAGAUUCUAGCCCAAAUUCUAGAAUCUAAAUUUUGAAUUGUGAGAAUCCUAGAAGUUGCUCAAGGGUUGAUUCUACCGUAUUUUGCAUGUAUAUUUUUACCUUUUUGCCCACCAUCCUUUUGAAUAAUUACCCGAUAUACCAUUGUCCAUUUUUUGAUAGAAGGGUAUAAAAGACAUCUAUCCAACAAACUAGCAUACGAUCAGAUUUUGGAAUCUAGGAUCCAAACAACACCAUCCAUAAUUUACUUAGAAUCUAGAUCUGAAAUCCAUCCAAAAUUUGUAUUUUCAAAAUCCACUACUGGAUUCAAACGGGACCUUCUUUCGGUCCAAAAAUCAACAUCUACCUCUGGUCCAGGUUGAAUACCUAUAAAUUCUAGAACCCACCCAGCUUGUAGAAUCCAACUAUGGAUCCCAACACUCUAGCAUCUGCCACAGAUUUUAGAAUCCAAAACUAGCGGAUUCCAAAAUCCUAGACGCCGAGGAAACAUAGCUUCAAGCUGAGCAAAUGAUGAUAUUACCCUAACCUUUUUCACAUCCCCGUGCUACCAGCAAGGGUAUUAUAGGUAUUUGGUACCAUAAAGCAACAGUCCAUCCACCCUAGUACUGGUUUUUUAUUAUACGGAGUUUAUGGAAACUAUAGUCAUCAAAUUAUUUUUUGUGUAUUUGAAGGAUGUCUGAACUUUGGCAAACAGGCUGUUAGGUAAGGGUCAACUAACCAAGAUGCUCCUGCCGAUAGCAAUAACUCGUUUUGCCUUCUGCUGCUAACCAUUCUUGCCAUUGGGGUGUUCUUGUUCUUUACGGAAAGGGAGCAGCCAUCCACGAGUGACUGAGUGCGUAGCAUGGCAAAUUUUCCGUUUGCUUCAUCUGGACAACUCCUUUCCCUUUUUGAGACGACGGCGAGGCGACGAAAUUUUGACAAAGGAUGCCCAUUAAACGUCUAAAAGUUACUACUACUUCUAUCGCCGGUAAUAUAUGCCCUUUAUGAAGGAUCUGCACGUCUAUGUGACGACAAGAAACAAAAGAAAAACGAAUAAUACACCUACAAAAAUCGACCAAAGUAUUUGAGAGAAUAUGUACCCGUGAGCGAUCGAUUGAUCUGGAGGCAGGAAGAUUUCUGAAACCGAGGUUGCAUCCAUCUUUCUCCGAAAGGACGUGAAGGUGCAGGUCCCGGCACAAUUUUACUUUACAGGCGUUCAGAUUCUGUGUAUGCCGCCGGUUUUUUUCGUUUUUGAAAAAGCAUCACUUGUUGGCAUCCGUGGAUCCACACGAUCCUCUUGACGAGACAGAUGAAGCUGGGGGCUUUUUAUCCUUGUCGUUUCUUUGGAGCAAUUUUAGGGUUUGCUUUCCAGCCGGUCACGUGUACUCUACACCCUUUGCAGGAACGAUAUGGUUAGGUUCGACCCUCUUGCAGUCUUGCUAGAUCUUCCGAAAUAUAUUUAGAUUUGUGUUAAACUGUCACCUCGGAUGUUCGGAUGUUAAAUAGAAGGGCUAAAUAUGAGUUAAUUAUAAAACUAAUUGCAGAACCUCUUGGCUAAUUCGCGAGAUGAAUCUAUUAGGUCUAAUUAAUCCAUCAUUAGAAAAUGCUUACUGUAGCACCACAUUGUCAAAUCAUGAACUGAUUAGGAUUAAUAGAUUCGUCUCGCGAAUUAGACUCCAUCUGUAUAAUUAGUUUUGUAAUUAGCCUAUGUUUAAUACUCAGUAAACAUCCGAUGUAACAUGCGCUAAACUUUAGCGGGUGGUAUCCAAACAUCUCCUUAUUAUUGUGUUCUCAAAGAUUUUUAAAAAAAUUCUUGAGUUCUCGAUGCUAAUAUCGAUCAUAUGUCCUUUGAUGCUUAGGCUAGUCCCAGUGCAAGGUUUCAUUGCACAGUUUCCAAGGAUGCCACAUUAUCCCAUGAGGUGUAUUCUCAUGAAUGAAAUAGAGAGUCCCAGUGCACAGUUUCAUUUCACGAUUUCAUAGGAUGACCAUCACAUUUAAUUGUGAGGCAUGUGAUUAGAUAUAGUAGAUGAAAUGAAAACUCUAUAGCACCCAAUGCAAGUUUCAUGGUCUUGGAAACAAUUUCAUCCUGAUGAAACUACUUCCCUCUCUAACUUCAUAAUUAUCAUGCCAUGUCAUCAUAUAUGCUGAUGCGUCACUGUAUUUAAUGUGUAUGAAGCCUCUAUGAAAUCCCCACUGGGAUUAACCUUAUAAUCCUCUUAUAUACUCGAAGAAAGCCCUCUCUCAUAUUGCAGCUGCGACACGUUUAGUUCGAACAAUAAAGUUGGACUUAAUUGCCGACUUCAGUAAAUCAAAACUCGUCAUGUCGUCUGAGUGGGUGUUUGGAAGGAGGGGCUAAAUUUUAGCCCCGUCACAUCAAAUGUUUGGACACUAAUUAGAAGUAUUAAACCUAAACUAAUUACAAAACUAAUUACACAACCCCUAGGCUAAAUCGCGAGACGAAUCUAUUAAGCCUAAUUAGUAACCAUUCACUGAUGAUGGAUUAAUUAGGCUUAAUAGAUUCAUCUCGCGAUUUAACCUAGGGGUUCUGCAAUUAGUUUUGUAAUUAGCUUAUAUUUAGUCCUCCUAAUUAGUAUCCGAAUAUCUGAUGUGACAGGGCUAAAGUUUAGUCCCUCCUCCAAAACACCCUCUAAAAGUAUCUCCACUCAUCUCUCUCCAUCCCUCCAAAAUAAACCAGGACCAGUUUUUUUUUCUUCGCUAGCUCUAUCUUCUCCAUCCACUACUACCGCGAAAAACUGCACUGGGAGAAGACCUCUCGAAAGCAUCCUAAACAUGUUGGUGGUAGUUUUCAAGAGAGUAGAAAAAUAGAAAAUGUGAAUAAUAUUAAAAGUACGACGUACCUAUAUACAUUUCUUAUGUAUAAGAAAAUUGUUUGUAAUGUAACGAUGGACCGAUAAUAAUGUUUUUGUGUGCCAGGCGAAAAAGGUACUACUAACAGGCAUAUCCUGUUAACUACUAACAGGAGUAUCCAUUUGACCUUGUAGAAUAGUAAAAUUGGAACCAAUAAACAUCAUCAAACGCUGCUAGAGGCACUCCAAGAGUCGGCCUAUUUUGGCCGACUAUUUUACUUGUGCUAAUCGUAGUUCCCGUUGACAUUCCGCAUGCUUAGCUCGCUUAAUUAUCAAGACAACGUACGCAAAAAGCACAGGCAUCUCCCCUAAAGCCCCAUAUGCACCUACCGUGGCAACGCGUCGACACCCGUCAAAGGCACAAAGACGUCACUGCCAAAACGGCAUUGAUCCUCAUCCAAGCUCACCGCCCGUCAUCAACCAAUUGAUUAAUGCAAAUGAACUUACGUGCCCAUGGAUCUGACCAGUCGUCUGGCCCCACGAUUCCCGAAUGGCCGAAUGACAGUAACAGUCUCGUGGAGAGCAUUUCAUCCGUUUUCAUAAUUGAAAUUAUAUUUCUCUGUUUACCGUGUUAUUAUGCAUACGAGCAUGUAUUCUCUUUGUUAUUAAAUCGUCGUUUUAGCUUUUCAGGUACGAUAACGUGAAGUUUAAAUAUAUUUUCGACAUAAUAAAAAUGAUGCACUUAAACAAUUCAAAACGAUUGAGUUUUGAGAUGGAGAAUAAUUUUUUACCCCAGCAACACAAGAUGUCAUGAAUUGAAUUGAGGAGGAUGAUUUUGGUGUGAGCCCAUGGACGCGGGUCGACGGCCUGGCUGAGAGGAAGGGAAAUCUACCGUUCGGCAUCACUACCUCUGGACGCUUCUUUCCACCGUAUACGUACUUUGCUUCCUACAAAAGCUACCUUCAAUCCUGUACACGAAAUCUAUUAGUAUUUAUUUACUCUAGAAAAAGACGGUAUGAAAGGAAACUGACCUGCCAACCCAACGGUAAAAAGGGAUUUUUUUUGGUAACUGGUAAAAUGAAUUGUAAGUAAUGGCAGGCAAUAAACACCUUCCAAACAGGCGGCCCUCUGGCCUCCCCCUCACCCCUUCUAUAAAAGCCACCUUACUCUCCUUCCCUUCCACCCAUGAACAGCAAGAAAGAAUAGUCUAGUCUCCAGCCUCCCCUCCCAGAUUCCCCUUCUCCUGUCUCUCCUCCCCAGUCGUCUUUCAAGUCCCCUUUUUGAAGCUUUGCUGCUCGUUUUUUUUUUAUAUCGUGCUUCUCCAUUAGUUUAUGGUGUUCUUGCAGAUCUCAUGUCUUUUUGGUGUUUGGUCUUUUGGUCAGCUGGAUGUUUGGAUUGGAAGCGGAGCUCCUAUCAUUCCAAUGAAGGGUCGUUUCGGUGGGUUGGUACCGCUGCUCGUUCAUGGUUCCCACUAUCCUAUCUCAUCGCCUGGAGGCUUAUCUUAGAGAGAGAGAGUUGAGUGGUCUGGUGUUUGCUUGAGAUAGGCUUGUGGCUUGCAUGACCGAGGAGCUGCACCGUCCCCUUGCUGGCCGCUCUUUGGAUUGAAGGGAGCUCUGCAUCUUGAUCCAACAAGGCCUCGUCUUUGCCUUUUUGUGCACCACUAAUGGCUGCUGCUUACCAUUUACAUGCUUAAUCUGCGUUGUUUCUCCUCGAUUGUUUGUGGAUCUUUUUAGUCCAUGUGCGUAGAUCUGGAGCUACUAUGUUCUUGUUCUGUAAUUUUUUUCUUCGUCUACUAUUUUUUUGCUUGUCCUGAAUCAGAGGUUCAGGAAAGUCUCUUGGGCAGAUGGGCUUAUCCGUGCAUCGUGCUGGAGGCUGGCAAGCAAGCAAGUAAGCAAGGGUACUUUGGCGUUGCUUUAUUCCUUUGUUGGUGAGAUGUUAUGUCACCCUUGUUUAUUGUUUUAUGUUCCUUUCGUAUUCACCCCGUUCGUACCGCGCGUGUGCAUUUCUGGUGGGGACUCUUGGAUCUCGCUCGCGACAUCUUCGUCUCCACAUCCCACUUCGAGGCGCCUGCUCGCCUUCCUUUUCUCGCGCCCUCCCGCCCCCCACCUGACAGAUUCGCAUCAGGUGCUCGGAUCUGAGCUCAGCGAGCGCACAUCACAUGUGGUGCCCUCGGCUACCUCCCCUUCUUUGUUUGUCUGGUUUGGGCCGAUGUUUGCAGGUCACUCUAGGCUAUCCUGUGUUCUUGGUGAUGAGCAGAUGCUGCGGAAGCCAAUCCAUGGCAUGCUCCGGAGCUCUCUCUGAGCCUGUGACGACGACGAAGGCGACGCCUGAUGUUUCUGCUUGAAGACCGGCGCUCAAGUGUGGAUUGUUGUGGCCACGGACUAUUGUUUGUUGUAUGGUUUCUGGUAAUGCGUUCCGUUGUGCAUUUUGUUGUAUCACAUCACCACGGAUUAUCACUAAUAAUCUCUGGUUCGGAAAGGUAGGGCAUCAUACGUUGCGUUGUCCGUGCCUCGGGAAGAAGUCCUUGCAACCUGGGCUUGUAAUAAGUUUAGAUGGGCCAUGCUGAAUGAAAAUUACCUACCAAUUUGGGUGUAAACUUGUAUGAUGAAUCCUUGAGGCACGAUCCUUGCAAUAUUAAUCAGAAUUCGGAGCAUGCAUUUUAAACCUUCUUCCUCGAUCUUCAGCUUAGAUGCGCAGUGGUAAUGGUGAACCUCAUCUACUAGCAAUGUAAUUGUUAAGGAGAGCUAUUUAUAUCGUCUAUUGUGCAUCGUGUUAUGGCAUUGUUUCUUUAAGUGAUACUAGUAGCACAUGAAAGCUUGUAGCUAGGUCUGACGAUAAACUCAUGACUCGCUAGCUCGCUUGACUCAGCUCGUUAGUGGUACUGAUUCAGUUCAUUAGAAAUUCUUCAUGAGGCGGGCUCAACUUAUAGCUCGUUAGAGGUAACGGCUAGCAGCACGCUGCAAACAAUCUAAUUUAGUGACAUCGAUCUAUUUUUUUUACUUGGAUUUAAUUUGUGAUCUCCAUAUUCGAGAUGCAAUUCCAGCGGCACCCUCUCCUCGUUGCUGCCUUUGUGUCCGUAUAUCAAGCCAGCUCGAGCUGACAAACAAGCCGAACUGAGCCAGACUUCUAGCUUGUUAAGAUAACGGGCCGAGCCGAGCUGGCUCGAUAUCCACGCCACUUGUAACACAUGUAAGCAUUGGAUGAAAGCGCAAAGAAAGAUCUUACAAUCCAGGCUCGUUUUGAGCUUUCGCGUAUUUUAGGCCAGCUUUUCCAUAUUUUAGGCAAUAGGCGAAAACGUAAAUACCAACUGUGAAAUGAAAAUUGAAAAUAACUAAUAAUGAAAGUAAAACAAAAAAAAUUCUCAAUACCAGGCUUGUUUUUAACCUUUUUUCUGUAUUUUAUGCCAAAACAUAGAUGUGAGUGGUAAAGAUAAUAAUUAUGAAAGUGAAAACAAAAGGUUCUUAAAAUCAGGACACGUUUAAAAGCUUUUCCGCGUUUUAGGUCUGAAAGUAAACAUGAAGUAAUAAAAUAAAUGUUUAUAAAAGUCAAAAUAGAAAGUUCUUAAAACAUGGGAUCGUUUUAAGCUUUUCCGUGUGAGGAGGAAUAAGGCUACUCACGCAUCACCACCGACCAGGAUGUUGGUCGAUUCUAACAGGUGGGCUUACCCGACCAUGCCGUGCGGGUCAAGGUACGAAGAAACGUGGAGCAUAAGUUCGGAGGCCAAGCGAACGGAUUCUAUCCGGAUAUCACGGGAUAUUUGUUGUAAACCGACUCAGAUUGCUUUCCAUUUAAUAAUCGAUUAGGAUUAAAUUCUAUCCGAUUGUAACUCUAGGUCGUCAGGCUAUAUAAGACGGCUAGGGGCGCCCCCCGAGGGCACGUUAACUCUUCGCACUUGCGAUCAGUAAUACAAUCCACCAGAACACAGGACGUAGGGUAUUACUCUCCGAAGAUCCGAACUUGUCUAAACCUUGCGUCCCUAUGUUACCAUUCUAGUUCUUGGUCUUACGAUCUCUCCCGCCAAAAAUCUAUCAUCUGUGUAACCCCUGAAGGACUGCCGAUCGCUAAAUCCGAUACCGUGUUUGAGGCCGGAAUAUAAUGGGCAUAGUAAAAAGUAAAAAUAACAGUAACAAUAAAUAUGGAAGGGAAAAUAAAGACAUGUUUGUGCUCAUCAAAUAGUUUUCUUGCUAAUGGUGCACUCACAUGAUGUUUCUGCUGCAAUAUUCCAGGCAUACAUGUAUUCUGAACACCUGAUGUGUGUAUAAUGCGGUUUACAAUGCAGUGAUGUUCAUAUUUUUGGAACAUGUAAUGGUUGAGAACCACUCUUUUAAAUUGAUGCAUCAGUACACUACUUGAGUGUACCUUUCAAAAACACAAAGAGUAGUGUUCGGCAUAAUGACGUUAUAUUUUAACCGUUAAUGUCUCUUAUAUUACAAUGCUUAUAUAAUAUCGGCACCAAAUGGAAGUACUUCUGAUACGAGUCCAAUGAAACUACAAUUUAUCCCACAAUAUGGACAUUCUUAACGUUAAAUGUUGGUUAAAGAAUUUUUAACGUUUGAAUAUCGAAAUGCAAGAGAUGGAGGGAUUAUCUUCUUUUGUGAAAAUGAGCUGAAGAUGCAAUUGUAUAUGAAGCAUUGUUGAGAUGUACACACGGAGAAGGAAUGCGUACGUCCAUCGCAAGCGUGCCCAUUACUCCACUACGACUCUCCAAAGCUAGCUAACAAUGUUUGUGCAUGUGGGGUGCUUCGGUAUUAUACAACGUAGCGUGUAAGCAAAUUCUUCUAUGGUAGACUAGAGUUUUUUGUUUGGAUUUUAGCAGAUGCUAACAUUGGCCGUCACCAGGCGAGGUGCUUCGUGACUCGUGAGACCAUCUGCCCCCGCCAUGCCGCUCCGGCCGCCGUGUCUUGCGGUUGCAGGCUCGCAGUGUCGUUGAUUAUUGGAAAGAGCCGCGCCCACACGAGCAAGUACCAACACGAUUAUGGACAAGCCCGGAGCCAGUUGCUGCUGCCUGGUGACUCGGCUGUUGGUUGGGCCGGCGACGAGGGGUUUGGCACGCAAACUGAGAAAUAAUUCGGCCAUGAGUUACGUGAGAUUCCGACUAAACAACUAUCAAACGUAUAAUGGAAUGGCAAAACAACAGCAAGGAUUUAGAGUAGUCUGUAACCAAAACAUUAUCUUGGUUGCCGUUGACGUACUGCAAGGAUUUUCUUGCUUUACUAUUGAGCCAAAUUAAGGAAAAAAAAAGAAGCAUACGCCCUCUAAAUUACACUUUCCCUCUUGUUUCAUCGUGCUAUUGGCGUAUACGUCCGGUGUGUAUAGCGUAUACUCCCUCCGUUUCAAAUUAUAGGUCAUUUUGGCAUUUUAAGAUUCAUAAAUUUUGACAUGCACCUAGAUAUAGGGUAUAUCUAGAUGCAUAAUAAAAAUUAUGAACUUAAAAAAGCUAAAACGAUCUAUAAUUUGGAACGAAGGAAGUACAUUUUUUGUUUGAAAUGAUAGUACAUUUGAAAUAAUAAGGUGGUCGCCGGCUCGGCAUCCGUUUCUCCCGCCUUUCUUUUCCGCAUCUGAAAAAUAUAAGAGGGAAGAAUCUAAAUUAUAUCGACGCUGGUCUCUUCCACCGACGCUGGUCCGUGGAGAUGAGCUCCCCGGCGGUUAGGGCGGUGGAGGGUGGUGGCGGCAGAUGCGGCGGCGGGAGCUGUCGGAGCCAUAGGACGAAGGCGGCGUGGGGGCAAGGGGCUCGCCGCCGGUAGGGUUAGGGUUCGGGGUAGGGGCUUUGGGGUUCAGGUUGCCGGGGUUAGGGUCUCCAGUGAUCUCUGGCUGCAGAGGGAGGGCCUUGGGCGGCGGCGGACCGACGGCGGGUGCUGCCGGCCGCGGGUGGCAGAGGAUAGCCGGUGGGUGGCGGAGGAGGCAGCGGAGUGACGGUGAGCAUCCCGACAGAGCCGGGUUAGGGUGGCGGUGAAUCCGGCGGCGGGAGUCGCUGGAGACAGACGGUGGAGGAGGACGGCGUGGGGGCGACUGGAGGAGGGGAGCGGCGGCGUGGGAGCGACCGGAGGAGGAAGACGACCUCCUCGUGAGCUGUUCUGGUGGGCCGGAGGAGGUGGUGGGCCACGUGCUCGCUGAAGGCGACAGCAUCGCGUUGGCGACGGCCAGUCGCACCCCAUCCCACCGGCAAACACCAAAAGAGAAAUAGUCAGACAGAUUCAACUCCCACCGUGGCCUUUCUUCCUUCUCUUUGUCUUCGAUCUGUUUUGCAUGGUUUGUUUUGAAGCUUUUAGAUUUGAAGGUUUUGGUGUUCUUGGCCUGAGUUUGAUUCUUAGCUAUUGCUUGGAUUUGAAGCGGAGCUCCCUUCGAUCCAAUGAAGGGUUCUUUUGAAGGGUGGUACAGCUGCUUGUUCAUGGUUCCCACUCUCCUAUCUCAUCAGCUACGAGAGAGAGAGAUUGUGAGGGUGAGGUGAUUUGGUUUGAGAUAGGCUUGUGGUUUGCAUGACCGGGGAGCUGCAUCUUCCCCUUUGUGGCCGCUCUUUGGAUUGAAGGGAGCUCUGCAUCGAUCUCGAUCCCAUGUCUAUUUGCAUCGAUCUGAAUGCCCCGUUAAUUCACUCCUUCCACCACUGACUUGUGUGUUGUAUAUAUUUGCUAUUUUUACAUGGUUAUAUCUGUCUAUCUGUGCUGCAACUAUAUUUCGAUACUUUGUGUAAUUUCUCCGUCCGUGCAUAUAGUCCUCAGUAAGUGUAUGCGAUACGAAGUAGAUCAUGUAUACCAGCAAAGCUUUCUGUGUUUUUUUUUUCUGCAUCUGUUGAGAUUAACCCCUGAUGAUCUUCCUUUUCUGUCGUGAUGGCCGGAUCCCCAAGAUUCAGCAGCAUAGUAUUUUAGAAAAAAGAAAAGAUUCAGCAGCAUGUGCUUGUCGGGGCUGAAGCAUGUCGGUGUGGUGAUGUGAGACUUGUUUCUUCUCUUUUCGUUGCUCGUGCGUGCCUUUCCAGUUUGGCGGCUCACUGAAGAAGCCCGUCUAGUGAUCGGGCCGGCGUCCUUUGUUCUCGGCUCUGCAGCGAUGAACAGACGUUACUGAAGCCUCUUGGGACGAUUUGCGAUGUUUAGGAAAUAAAAUAGGUUAAUUGGAUAUAUAUCAUUACAAAUAUCUGAGUUUGGAAAACUACCAUUAUAAUUCGUCUAUUUGAAACAUACCAUUACGACUCGUUUUUUACUUGAGACGUGCUAUUUUAUACGUUUUUGAUGCUCUUGACCCAUAUGCAGAUCCUGGUAUUUCCGUAUGGACGAAAAUGCCCCUACUUCAACAAGGGGCUUCUUCCACCCGUGCUCCGCUGCUAACGCCGUUGGGGAUGUGCUUGAGCGCGGCGGUGGCGGCGGACGCGCAGGGACGGCUGGAGCGCCGCGCCGGCAGACGGACGGGGUCGGGGCGGAGCGCGGCCGCGCCGGCGAACGAAUGGGGCAGGGGCGGGGCAGUGGGGCACGCCCGCGGCAGCGCACACGCGGGCCAGCGCGGGGCGCGGCCGCAGCGAUGAACGAGCGGGGCCGGGGUGGAGUGCGCCCACGGCGGCGCACGCGUGGGCCAGGACGGGGCGAGGCUGUCCCUAGUCGUCGCGCCAGCCGUCCAGGCUGCGCACCAGCCCGCGCAUCGACGCGUGCCCACGGCGCUGACGCCACCCACGCUCUCCACAGGCCUGCGUGGCCCGCACGAGAAGGAGGUGGCCGACCGAGGGAGGCUGAGCAAUAAGGAUUCGCGGCGGAACUUGGCUCUGAUUGGAGCUGCUGCAGCUAAGACUGCUGUGGGAACGUGUGAGGGACCUGCAGGAGGAGGGAUUGGAUGGGGAGGAGCAGGUAGCAGGAAGCUCGUCGGUUACUAUGCAGCUGCUUGUACUUGCGAUGGAUAAAGGAAAGGAGCUGCUUGCUCAAGAAUGACGUUUGAUGCUGCUGCUUGCUACAACAGGGAGGAAGGAGACAUCGAUUUUGGGAGCAAGCACGGAGGAGCACCCAAGGCGGAGCGAGGCCACGGCGGACGCGCGAGGACGGAGACGGCUGCUGACGCGCAACAGGAGCUCGACAUUUCGCGUGGAAGAUUCGGGGAGGGAAGGGAGGAGGAAGGGGAUGACCGUUUGGUCCCACAUGUCAGUGAGUGGAGAGUAGAUAUGUAGCGGGGUUAUUCUUGUCCGUACAGAAAUACCAGAAUCUGCAUAUGGGUCCAAGAGCAUCAAAUACGUACAAAAUGUCACACCUCAUGCAAAGAACGAAUUAUAAUGGCAUAUUUCCAAAUAGACGAAUGGUAAUGGCAGCUCUCCAAACUCGGAUAUUUGCAAUGAUAUGCAUCCAAUUAACCUAAAUAAAAUCCACUCGUAGUAGCAGUGAGUUAGUGACAUGUUUAUGGUUCUUGUAGUAAUGUUCAGUCUGCUGAUGCAACAUCAGCAUCCUACAUGUAUGUCGAUGCUCCAAAAAAUUGUAGUCGGGUGGCACGGUGCUGUAUCAUUUUACAAAGUCAUCUGAAAAUAUAAACUUUCAUUUUGAAGUUGGUUUCUUGCAUCUGAGCCCAUGAUAAGCAAGUCUGCAUGUGGGAGUGCUGUAGCAAUGAUCGUAGUAUACUCUAGAGCUGAGCUCUCGUGCAAGCAAAGCCUGCGUAUUGUCGAUAGACUAGCACAAUGCUAGCAGCCUAGCACUGAUGCCAACUCUUAAUCAACAGCCAUGACCUCGCUCGGCUACCCUGCCUUCCUUCGUCAGCGCGACAACAGCGAGGAGCGGUAUCUCUCACUUCUCACUUUCUCAGACGAUUGCAUCAUCGAGAUUCGUCGGGCCGGACGAGCCCGGAGCCCCGUCAUUUAUGGGCUAAUGGGCUGCUCUUGUGGGUUGUCUUGCCCCCUUGUUGGGCCUGUAGCUUUGUGCAUGCAUGUUGGGCCGGUUGCAUUAUUUGUCCAGAAUAAGCUAAUAUCAAGAUUCGUCGGACAGCGCUCGGACGAAUAAGUGCGGAAAUUGAAAGGAAAUUAAAAGGGGAGAAAUAUCAGGAGUAAAGCUAAGAAAAGGAAGAUUCCAGAGCUACUCCUUCCGUCCUAAAUUAUGUUGUUUUGAAUUUUCUAUUCAUAUCUUUUACUACGCAUCUAAACAUAAUAUAUAUUUCUAUUCAUAUCUUUUACUACGCAUCUAAAUAUAAUAUAUAUUAUGGCAAAAUCUAUAAAUUAAAAAACUAAAACGACUUAUAAUAGGAAGUACAAUUGGCAUAUCCUGCUGACAGCCAAAAAUGAAAACCAAUUGCUACUCGAAUUUCCUGCAAAGUCGCUGUCCCAUAAUCAAUUGAUGCAAACGCGCGUGGCGCGCACAAACGAGAGAGAAAUCAAGAUGUGCAGUUCGAUCGGGCACUACCGUUGACAUUGCAUUGACCUUAGCUUUAUGUAUCUGUGCAUACAUCGUUAUUUCCACAGUUAAGACAUUAUUGGUGGAAAAAAAAUUAAGAGAAUUUAUGAAAAGCUUGUGAUUCUUCAGAUAGGAGUUCGAUACAGGAAAUGCACCAUCUCCCUCUCGAAGUACCUGAGUACUCCAAGAUAUCUAUGUCAUGUUAUCAAUAACUGCAUCGCGAUUUAUGUGGGAGCACAGCAACAUAUCUUCUCGUUUGCAUAGAAUCAUAUCAUGAUCUCGGAUCAAAAUCUCUCAAACUUUAGCCUAGUUAAAAUUCUUGUGUUAUGAUAAUAGCACUGCAAUUUAGACGUGACUAUAUAAAUAGUCGCUUAUAUUCACUUAUGGAAAGAAAAGAAUACUACUUUUAUGUGUGGAGUGGGGUGGAUAGUUUUUUUUUUGUGCUGCACCAUUAGAUGGAUAGGGGGUUUUGCCCAGCCCGACGCUUGACGUGAGUUUUGAUCCAUUCCCGCACUUAAUCCUAUAGCUUCAACCCUUAACAAACAUAUACAUGGUAGUUAUUGACAUGCUUCAUCGUGGCACUUGCAUGAUCCCGUUGUAAUUUUAUACAACUAGACAAACAAGAAGACCUGACCAUAAUAGCCCAUCCUGAGCCCGACGAGUUACCAUGAUUUAGGGCGGUACGGUGCUGAAUUUCGUGUCUAAAAAAAUCGACCCGACCCAAACCAACGCGAAAUAAAGUUACAUUAAAAAAGGAUGGCUUGUUCUGUCCGACUUGGUUCCCAAUUUGAAGGUAUGAUAAAGUUAGUGACAGGAGUUGGACGCUGAUUUUAGGCAUAAAAUAAACAUGAAUUUUCUCGACCUGGUCUGGCCUAAAAAUGCGCAGGACUAAACAAUAUCUAAGAAGUAAGAACUAGUCAACUAAAUAGUCAUCAGACAUAUAACACCCCAUCCUCUAAAGUCACACCGUCCAACCCUUUUGAGGAACGAGCAGGCAUACACAUAGCACCCUACUUACCUUUUCGUUCUCACUUCGUAUAAAAGGGUUAACCAGAGAAUGCUAUGGUUGGAGGAUAAAAUCUUAUAAGUUGGCUCCACCCUUGCUCAACUAGAAAUGUGGUACUAAAUAUGUCCAUGCGGCACUAAUGUGCCACUACUAAACCAUCCAAAUUUUGUCCGGGUGUCACAUUGUACCUCCGACCCACUACGGAUCAAAGAUCAUGUCCGACGUUGAGAUGGCAAUGGGUACAUGAAACUCAAAACCCAUCAUUCUAUUAAUUAGGGCACGUGCAUGUAUCAAUUUUUCUACCAUGGGUUUGCUAAUGGACGAAAAGUUAGACCCAUCGAGUUUGAUGUCGUAGGUCUGGGAACAUGAAAUCCGAAUCAGCGAACCCAUGAGUUAUUUAGACCCAACUAUAUACCAGCAAAUAAGCCCAUCUCCUCGAUAAACACCUUAAUUUAGACAGCCCACGCGUAACUUGGAUAUGUAUGUGUUGUUGCUUAUCCUCAAUGGAAUCAUUGAACAUUAAACUUGGUAAUUUAAGAGCUAUAUUAUGCGAUGAUGCCACUGAUUUAUGAACUGAUGUGCUACAAGGACACGUGUGAUGGUUGGAUAACUCUAAUGUCUUAUCUUGCUAUUCUUUUUGUUGAUUUACAUCAAUCUAAUGAUGCCACUGAUUUAGGAACUGAUGUGCUACGAGGACACAUGUGAUGGUUGGAUAACUCUAAUUUCUUAUCCUGCUAUUCUUUUUGCUGAUUUACAUCAAUGUUGCAUGCACACAUAUUGAAAUAUCAAUAUAUAUGUAUGUGACUGUUGUUUUCAGUUGCCUAUUUUAUUGGACAUGGGUAACCUGUUGGUGCCCCGUUAACCCGAUGUGCAUAGGUUUGGCAUAAACAUCAACCAGUUCAACCCAAAAAUUUAAGCUGAUAGGAAAUAUGAGCAAUUCACUUAUACUCCAACACUCCCCCUCACGCGCAGACUCCCUUAGGCCGCAUGUGGAAAUUGGAGUGGGCUGCAAUUAUUUUAUUUAAUCGCGUCCACCAAGAUUCGAACUCGAGACCUCUGACUCUUAUACCAUAUUGAAUUGCAUGCACCAACCAGUUCAACCCAAAAGGUUAAGCUGAUAGGGAAAGAUCACUUAUACUCCAACAUUAACAGACAAAUUUUAUAUUCGUGGGCAUAGGAUGUUAAUACCCACAGGUUUGUGGCCAUUGCUAUCUCUAAUAUAACACCUUUUUUUAUCUUAUUAAUAGACCUUUUAGCAAUAUGCGACGCGUGCGUCAACAACGAGAAACAUUUAGCGAAUUCUCAUAAAUGUUCAUGGAGAUACGGUGAGCGCACGUGGUUCAUAGGGAGAUUUACCAGUCUAGUGUAUUGUAAGUGUUUAUAGGGUAGGAUGUGCAUAUACUCUUAGGAACUGAGUGUUAGUGCGGUGUGAGCCACUGAGCAUUUGUAACCAUUAUAUGUUGAAAGAAGAAACAAGAUCAAUGACUUUGUUAUCACUGUUUCUCGCGAUGCCAAAGCAUAUUAUACACGGAUAAAGAGUAAUGACAUUUUUCCUAUAAUGGCACUAAAUUAACGAAGAGAGAGAGAGGAAACCAUCCUGAUGAAACGAGCCGGCUCCAGUUACCAGACGGGCGACACCCCACUGAGGGGGUCAUCGUUUCAUCCAGCGGCGGCGGCGGAUCCCUUGCGUCGGCCGCCCUCCCUCCCGCGCCGCGCCCUCCCUUCUUCCCCGCCCAAAUUCUUCCAACGCCGUACAUGAAUGGAGGUUCCGUUGACUUCCAAUCUCGCCUCCUUCUCCUUCCAAUCUCACCUCCCUCCCCCUUCCAAUCUUGAUUCCCAGCUGCUGUGGCAUCGCCGCGUCGCCAGCGCUGCACUGGAGCCCGAUGGCUGGCAGAGAGAGGAAGGGAGGUCCCAAGAAGCAUCUGACUGUAGUGCAAAUUUCCCCAAUUUUACUGCUGACUGUAGUUGAAUUUUACUCUGAUCUCUAGCCUUCCUGAUUAAAAUAGCACUUCCAUGUUUCUUUAACGGAUUGACUGUAGUUGAAUUUCCCCAAAUAUGAUCUUUGAUGUAUCAAUAAACUAUAUCUUUAGAGCAUAUAUGGUUUUGAUCUGUAACAGUGCUCACAGUUGACACUCCAGGGAUCUCGCGAACUGGAAAAUGGAAGUAAAAUUGCUACAAGUUUACAAUUCCCUGUUGAUUCAGGACACAAGUAAUAUGACUGAUGAAGAGAAGGCUAGCCGAGUGAAGACAUUGCAAUGGAUGCAGAAGAAGAUCAUGGCUUUGAUGAGGAAGCAUGAGGUAUACAUAGCACUUUCUGAAAUUGUUCUAUAGAUUGUAGAAAAUCUGUCUCUGAAGUCAUAAUUAGCAUGCAGCCAUCCUUUUCAAAAAUGGAAAUUCAAUAUGCAACCAGCCAGCCAAAACAAAACUCUAUCUCUUAUGUCUGAACUUACUGCAUUCAAUUAAGAGCCUACGCUUAUGACUGCAAUUCAUCAUCUGCAUGAACAGAGGCAAAGGCAUGCUUAUGACAGCAUGACAGUAGCUAAUUGGAUUGUUCUUUUCGCAAAAUAAUUAGUAGCUACUUGUUUGUUCUUGUCUCACCUAGAAGAUGUAGCUUCAAUUGUUCAGUUAGCGCUGAAUCUGUUUUUAGAGCUUCAGUUCAAUUGUUCAUUUGUCUCUUUUUGCAAAAGUGGUUCUUGACAGUACCUACUUGUUUUUGGAGCUCGGUUUGUUUAGAUGGUCUGUUUCAGUAUCUUGAAGGCUUACAAUAUUUUGAUGUGCUAUUUUCAGUGGACAAAGUGGCAGGAAACAGGAAGAUGGAAGACAGUGGGUUUUUAAGUUUCUCAUUAUGUUAGUUUCAGUGGCAAUGGGAACUUUAGUUUGAAUCUGAACUGAAUGUAUGAGGUGGGCAAUUUAUUCCGAAUCUGAGACUGCACGUAUG
RNAcentral lists this long non-coding RNA (31900 nucleotides) under Setaria viridis. Its description in RNAcentral is "long non-coding RNA (SVIR_LNC005214)". The stretch from base 24933 to 25159 matches the Rfam family "MIR159 microRNA precursor family". The record is from RNAcentral. Lineage: Eukaryota; Viridiplantae; Streptophyta; Magnoliopsida; Poales; Poaceae.